RNA transcript from Salvelinus fontinalis (brook trout), 6462 nucleotides. RefSeq lists it as uncharacterized. The record is from RefSeq and is a predicted model, not a curated record. The transcript has 3 exons. Lineage: Eukaryota; Metazoa; Chordata; Actinopteri; Salmoniformes; Salmonidae.
GACGUCUAUCUAUCUAUCUAUCUGGAAUUGUAUUCCUCAUCAUGUCUUCUCUACUUUUGGUGGCCUUAACUUCAUGUUGUUGUGCAAUUAUAAUAUUGACAAAAUUCCAGGGAAACUUUCUGCUUUUCAUCGGCAGGUUUUCUUGUCAUGGUCCUUAAAUUUAUAAACACAAUUUUUCUCCACACAGAUAUUAUAUAUGGAAUAAUCGGGAUAUAUUGUAUAAAAAUAUUUCUUUGUUUUUAGAAUAUUGGUUCCGAAAUAAUAUCCUAUUGGUGAGCCAACUGGUAAAUGCAGAGGGUCUUUUACUCAGUUAUAAGGAAUUCUUAUCUCUUUACAAGGUCCCUGUAACACCUAAAGAUUUUGCAAUUGUUUUAGACGCCAUUCCCUCAGGUGUUGCUCUGUUAUUCAGGAACGUGUCAAGACCUGACCCUCAGAGCCUACCUUCUAUUGACCCUGUUGACUCAUCAGUAGGAAAGAUUUGUUUCUCUUCUGGUCCAUUCAACAACAGAGCGAUACGAACCUUGUUUCAGCAGGAUGUUGUAUCUAUACCUUAUGUCAUGCCUUAUUUGAAUGGAUUUAUUGAUAAUAUCUGUUGGAAAAAAGUUUGGAUGUUGCCACACACAUACCUACUUGUUAACAAAAUUAAGGAGGUUUCCGUUAAAAUUAUUCAUAAAUAUUAUCCUGCCAACCACUAUAUAAAGAAGUUUAAGGAAAACAUGAACUCAAAUUGCUCCUUUUGUAAUGACCACCCAGAAACAGUGUUGCAUCUUUUUUGGGGCAUUGUAUACAUGUAAGAAAACUGUGGCAAGACAUCAGUAGAUUUAUAAUUGAACACAUUUAUGAAGAUUUUACACUUGUGGAGAGAUGUACUGCUUGGAUUCUUUACAUACGAUAAAAAUAAGCUGAAACAUUUUUAUGUAAUUAAUUUCAUUAUUCUUUUGGCCAAAUUUCAUAUACACAAAUGUAAAUUUACUAACAAAAAAACAUUUUCUUACCCUACAAAAAGAAAUGGAACUGUAUUUUAAGACAGUUAAAUACUCUACUAACAAAAAAGCUGUUAGAAUUGUAAGCGUAUGUAUGUCCCUUAAGGUCCUUGUGUAAUUGUAAUGUGAUAUUGUACCCCCUAGCUCGAUUGUCCAUUAUAUAUAAUCUAUAUAUACUUGUGUUCCCUUAUGUACUUUCUGUAUUGAUUUGUUGUUAAUAAAAAUAAAUUUUAAAAAGACAUAACAACAUCCCAAAAAAAAAAAAAAAAAAAAUUACUUGUAAGCGACGUUGGCUAGCAAAACUCAUACGUAGAAACACGUUAUCGGGUCGUCUCGCGCCGUACUGCGCAUAUGCCGGUCGUCAACUCAGAGGCACUCCUUCUAUAUAAACUUGUUUUUGACGAAAAUGAAAACGUGUCAGUUUGUGACUCUCACAGGGUUGGAGUCAUAACAAGUUCAACUACAUAAGACAUUGGCUCAAAUCUAGGUUGUUCCUUUAGAUUUCGAGAAAAUGAAUGAAUAAGUAAGAUCCCGGGAAGUUUCGUGGUGUUAAGACCUUCUGUCUUUGGCUAUAUGGACACACCUGGUGCCCAAAUUGAUUACGCGUUUAAGUAUAUCGCGCAGCUGAGUGUCAAGUGUGGAAUUUUGCAAUUGUUUUAGAUGCCAUUCCCUCAGGUGUUGCUUGAUUAUUGAGGAACGUGUCAAGACCCGGGCCCUGUUUCAGAAAGCAGGUUUAACAAACUGAGUUUAAACCUGAACUCUGGGUUGACUAACUCUGAGCUGUCAAACUCAAGAGUUUUCGGUUUCAGAGCAGGUGAUAACAAUUAGUUCAAUCAACUCUUGGUUAAGUUAACCCUGAGUUAAACACGUGCAUGAGGAGAUAAAAAGCCCUCAUCAAUGGAACGCAGAUAACAUGAUUCAUCAUGGCAACGGGAGAAAAGGGCUCGAACCUCCUACUUGUCCAGUGGCGUUACGCUUCGAACACACCGACUGCGUCAUUGCAUCACUGCUGCAUAACAUUUUGCGCCGCUAGGCAACUAAACUGAUGCAGGUACCUUUUGCAAAUGGUCGCAUGCGGUUGGACACAUAGAGGAGAGAAUCAUUUUCGCAGUGUCCUCAAAACCGUGUCUUUUUGACACAACUGCUGACAGCUACAGGGACAUAAACACAAAAAAUCCUGCUUGGAGACAAGUGUCCACGAUAGUAGGAUUGCCAGGUCAGUUUAGUAGUGAGCUUGUGCUAGAUGUGGCUCGUUAGCUAGCUAGCUAACCUAGCCAAUGAGGUGUGUGUGAAAGAAAUAGUCAAAUUAUGCUAGUUACUACCCCUGAUAACUUUACCAAAUGUUCAUGUUUGAAAGAGUGUGAAUGCUAGAUAAAUAGUAAUGGAAGUAGUAGAUACUACUGUACCCCUGAUAAUUUGGUCAAAUAACCGUGUGUGUCAAUGUGUACAGUAGGUGACAUGUCCAUGAUAGCUAUCUAAUAACUAUAGUUAUGCUAGGUAAUGGUUUGGCUUAUCAUGUUCAUGUCUAUGUAGAAGAAGACUGUAGGAGGAAGUGGAGAGGACUCAGGGACAGGUAUCAGAGAGAGAGAGAAGGGCAGAGAAAGAGAAAAAGAGGUCUGGGUCAGCAGCUUCAGGCCAGCAGCCUUGGCGCUUCUGCCACAUUCUUUCUUUUCUGGAUCCAUUUAUUGUGCCUAGGGCAACGAGUGGCAAUUUUAAAGCCAGACCCCUUACGUCAUCCACAAGUGUUGUCGCCACCGGUGCAUCAAGACCCUCAACGUCAGCUACAAGUGCGACCAUCACCUCCACCGGGGUAGUGAGACCCUCUACAACAUCAUCCACGAGUAUGACCACCACCGGUGCAGCCAUGGAAGAUGAUGAAAUGGAGGAAGCACCUCUGGAUCUGGGACCACCUGAGAUUAUUAUGAACCUCACGGAAGUGACCACUGAGGACCUCGUUGAACAGGAUGUGGCCGUGGAGAGAAAUGGAGAGAGAAACGAAGAGGAACAACGUCACACCAGGCGUCAUCGGAGGUACCAGCCCCCAGAUCCACUCAACUCAUUUCAGCAGAGGCUCCUCCAAGCCGUCGAGAGGGAUGCAGCCCAACCUGAUGCUCACAGGAAGGAGGAUGAAGAGACCCUCUUUGCCAUGAGCCUGGUGCCAACACUGAAGAGGCUGCCUCAGCAAAGAAAAGCAGCAGUCACAGUUAAAAUGUAUCAGCUGCUUUUCAAAGCCGAGUUCAAUGAAAUGGAGUCAAUUUAGCCGGCCAGCUCACAGGAAGGACAGGAAGAGGAGAGGAAGGACAGGAAGAGGAGAGGAAGGACAGGAAGAGGAGAGGAAGGACAGGAAGAGGAGAGGAAGGACAGGAAGAGGAGAGGAAGGACAGGAAGAGGAGAGGAAGGACAGGAAGAGGAGAGGAAGGACAGGGAGAGGAGAGGAAGGACAGGGAGAGGAGUUGUCUGGUUGUUGUUUUGGCCUCCCUCAUUGUACCUUUCUUUUCACAUACGUCAGUUCUGUUUAAAUUCAGUCAAUUCAUAAAGUAAUUUGUUUAUAAAUUAUUAGGAUAGCAUUCAUUAUUAGUGUUACAUAGAUUUCUGAAUUGAAACUCAUACGGAGUUUUCACAGAUGCUCUUGGUGUCUUACGAGACUAAAGGUCAAUAUAUUUAUUUCCUUUAAAACCACUUGAAAACCAGGGUGUUAACUUUUUGUGAAGUUAUGUUCCAUCGACUGGUCCAUGACGUCCAGGGGCCAUUUGUUUGUUUAACUGUGUUAUGGCUACAUAUUAUUUCCUUUUUUUCAGAGACACACACACACCUCUUCAUACCUCAGAUCUCCAGUGCCCUGCCCUCUCUCUCUUUAUGGCCAUGUAUGAAGUUCCCCUACUACGUCUAGGCUUUAUGACUAGUUGUCAGUUGUUUCAUAUCUAAUUUAGACUUAAUCUGCUUAUUUCUUCCCUACACCUUUGCAGAUCUAAGACAAGAUGAAAGUAAAAACACAUUCUCUUUUUUCCACCUGUAUUUUGUCAGGCCAGUGAACAUGGUGGUAAACUGUAAUAUUUCUAUGGACCCUAGGUUACCCUUUCCCUUCGUUAUCAUACUAACUGUAUGUCGUAUAACCUUAAUUAGUGCUCCCGCUCACCUGAUGUACCAUGCCAGGUGUGUAUAAUACUGACGUUAAUGGGAGAGGGAAGGUGUUAUUAAGGUGUGGUCUUUACUCCCAAAUGUCACUUAAAUAUAGCUUCCAAAUGAAGAGAGACAAUGAUACAUAAAGUAAUCUGUGGGAAAAAUGCAAUUUUAUGGACAACGGUGGAUGGUUCUUAAAAUAACCUUUGUGUUAUGGGGCUCUUAAAAGAGCCGUUUCACUCCACGGCAUACUGCCAUGGGACUUCACCUGCUGGCGAUGAGAAGUAGGUGGUCAGCUUCUCCCUCACCUGGAGUGCCUGUCUGAGGGCGUUGUUGGCACCUGCCCUGGUGACAUCAGGAAGGUGACCAUUUGGCGUGCCCAUCUCCAUCCGGAGCGGCUACUGGAAUGACCUCCGCAGGUAGUUGUGGAGAACACAUAUGGCCUUCACGCAGGCAUCGACAUUUGUGGGGCUGAGACCAAGCACUCUCCGAUACAUUUUCCAUCGGGCUGCCAGAAUCCCAAAGGCGCAUUCAACAACUAACCUUGCCCUGGACAGUCGUUUGUUAAAGAUCCUUACAGGCUUUGGCAAUGGCAGCUGGCGUCCAGCGUAGGGCCUCAUGAGGUUGGGUCUUAAAGGGAAGGCCUCAUCGCCGACGAAGAUGUGGGGAACAGGUCCCAGGUCUUCAGCCCCAGGGAGUGAUGCAGGUGGUGGAAUAUCCAGGGUGCCAUCCUGAAGUGCCUGGCCAAAGGCAGAGUCCCGGAGGGUCCCGCCAUCACUUCCCUUGCCGUAAGCACCAACAUCGACAACACGGAAACAGUAGAUGGCAUCUACUACAGCCAAGAGUACAACUGAAUAUGUACCCUUGUAGUUGUAGAAUUGCGAACCUGAGCACGGUGGAGCCUGGAUUACUACAUGUUUCCCGUCAAUGGAGGAAUAAAAAAUGUAAAGAAAUUAUGCAAUCAAACUGUUUUUAUGUAAUCCCAAAUUUUUACUGAAUGUGUGCAACAAAAAAAAUCUACAUUCAUAUUUUGCUACUUUCUGUCAAGUCCACUCAUACAAUUUGAUGCAUACGUUCGAUAAAUCGAACGUAUGCACCACACAGAACGCACUGCAACUGCCUCUGCAACGCAAUGCUGUAAGGCAAAUGCAGCGUUCCAUUGGAAAUGAAUGUACUUCUGGUGUAUCGAAACGCAAGACGCAGUCGGGUGUGUUCGAAAGCGUAAGAAAAAAAGCAAUGCAGUAGCAGCAGCAAAAGAACUUGAGUUGGCGUGGCAGAAAAUUGCUGACCGAGUCAGUGCUUGAGUAUUAAUUUAAAGAAGUUAUCUCGAGUGUUCCACUUAUUCAACAUUUUAUAUAAUAUAAAUGUGUGUGUGUGCAUGCAUGCGCGUGUUUAAUAUUAAUGCAUGUCCAACCCAACAGGCACAAAACCUACUUGGCAGACACUGAAGAUGAAAUAUAAAAAUAUACUUCAAACAGGUAAGGUAUAAUUUCCUUACAAGCAAUUGUGAUGUUGUUUAGCCUACCCUACCUAAUUAAACAGCAUUCAGUGGCUACAUUCAACCUAUAAUAUAUUUAAGUAGUUAGUGACAUUUUCUAAGCAAAAAAAGUGUUUUUCAGCCAUCACAACACUGCCAGUAUUUGAAAGUUACACCUAAAUUCCUUUGUACAUACAUGUCUCUGAAUUUGUGCUUACAAUUAUAACCAAUAGAAAAAGGCUGAGGGCUUAAAAACAGGUGAGGGUCCACCACCACUCACAGAGGCUGAAGAGAUGACCCUCAGUCAAAACAGUGGGUGACCUAUUGAUGAAGGUAUCUUUGAAGGAGCUCAUCUGACCCAGCCACCCCCCAGGACACAAGGGCCUACAUAAGAGUUUAGUUAUUCACAUUAAUGAUAUGUACAUUCAUCCUUUUGCCAGUGUUUCCUCAGUGAUGCCCACCCAUCCAUCUUAGACACAACUUUGUACAAUUAUUUGUAAUUGACUUAUGUUACUUUUUCAGAUUCUUAGUUGUCCUUCAGAUCUAUUUUAAGGUGACUCAGAAUUAUAUAUUUGAAAAAAUUGUAAUGUGGCCUACACACUGUUGUAAAACCAAAAUUCAAAUUGUGGGGCACUUUUCUGGGUAAAGUUAUAAUUGAACUGUCUAAUCUUAAUAUUCUACCAGUUACUGAUGGUAUAAUCUGUCUGGAGCCUUCUGCCAUAACAGACCUCCAUGCAGUUGAGGAUGAUGAUGAAGACACCUUGUCAGCUGCCACAGAGAGGGAAGAUACAGAGAGGCCUAUUGAGGUUCACACCUUAAAAAUAACAUUUAACAGUUGAUGAUAGUGUUGUACCAUAAUAAAACUUGCACCUUUUUCUCUAA